This 254-nucleotide ribosomal RNA is filed under the name uncultured bacterium. RNAcentral's name for it is "partial 16S ribosomal RNA". It matches the Rfam family "Bacterial small subunit ribosomal RNA", at positions 524 to 776 of the family's 1533-position model. The record is from RNAcentral.
CACGUAGGGUGCGAGCGUUGUCCGGAAUUAUUGGGCGUAAAGAGCUCGUAGGCGGUGUGUCGCGUCGGCCGUGAAAACCUGCAGCUUAACUGUGGGCUUGCGGUCGAUACGGGCAUCACUGGAGUUCGGCAGGGGAGACUGGAAUUCCUGGUGUAGCGGUGAAAUGCGCAGAUAUCAGGAGGAACACCGGUGGCGAAGGCAGCUCGCUGGGACGUUACUGACACUGAGGCGCGAAAGCGUGGGGAGCGAACAGG